UACGUAGGGUGCAGGCGUUAAUCGGAAUUACUGGGCGUAAAGCGUGCGCAGGCGGUCUUUUAAGUCAGAUGUGAAAUCCCCGGGCUUAACCUGGGAACUGCGUUUGAAACUGGAAGGCUUGAGUGUGGCAGAGGGGGGUGGAAUUCCGCGUGUAGCAGUGAAAUGCGUAGAUAUGCGGAGGAACACCGAUGGCGAAGGCAAUCCCCUGGACCUGUACUGACGCUCAUGCACGAAAGCGUGGGGAGCAAACAGG
RNAcentral lists this ribosomal RNA (253 nucleotides) under uncultured bacterium. Its description in RNAcentral is "partial 16S ribosomal RNA". It matches the Rfam family "Bacterial small subunit ribosomal RNA", at positions 524 to 776 of the family's 1533-position model. The record is from RNAcentral.